GUGAGGAAUAUUGGUCAAUGGGCGGAAGCCUGAACCAGCCAAGUCGCGUGAAGGAAGAAGGAUCUAUGGUUUGUAAACUUCUUUUGAAGGGGGAUAAAGUGGGUUACGUGUAACCCAUUGCAGGUACCCUUGGAAUAAGCAUCGGCUAACUCCGUGCCAGCAGCCGCGGUAAUACGGAGGAUGCGAGCGUUAUCCGGAUUUAUUGGGUUUAAAGGGUGCGUAGGUGGCUUUUUAAGUCAGCGGUGAAAACUGGCGGCUCAACCGCAAGAGUGCCGUUGAAACUGGGGAGCUAGAGUAUGAACGAGGUAGGCGGAAUGUGUGGUGUAGCGGUGAAAUGCAUAGAUAUCACGCAGAACUCCGAUAGCGAAGGCAGCUUACCAGGCCAUAACAGACACUGAAGCACGAAAGCGUGGGGAUCGAACAGGAUUAGAAACCCCGGUAGUCC
This 445-nucleotide ribosomal RNA is filed under the name uncultured bacterium. RNAcentral's name for it is "partial 16S ribosomal RNA". It matches the Rfam family "Bacterial small subunit ribosomal RNA", at positions 354 to 796 of the family's 1533-position model. The record is from RNAcentral.